UACGUAGGGACCAAGCGUUGUUCGGAUUUACUGGGCGUAAAGGGCGCGUAGGCGGCGUGGUAAGUCACUUGUGAAAUCUCUGAGCUUAACUCAGAACGGCCAAGUGAUACUGCUGUGCUAGAGUGCGGAAGGGGCAAUCGGAAUUCUUGGUGUAGCGGUGAAAUGCGUAGAUAUCAAGAGGAACACCUGAGGUGAAGACGGGUUGCUGGGCUGACACUGACGCUGAGGCGCGAAAGCGUGGGGAGCGAACAGG
RNAcentral lists this ribosomal RNA (253 nucleotides) under uncultured bacterium. Its description in RNAcentral is "partial 16S ribosomal RNA". It matches the Rfam family "Bacterial small subunit ribosomal RNA", at positions 524 to 776 of the family's 1533-position model. The record is from RNAcentral.